CGCGGUGAAUACGUUCCCGGGCCUUGUACACACCGCCCGUCACACCAUGGGAGUGGGUUGCAAAAGAAGUAGGUAGCUUAACCUUUUUGGAUGGCGCUUGCCACUUUGUGAUUCAUGACUGGGGUGAAGUCGUAACAAGGUAACCGUAGGGGAACCUGCGGUUGGAUCACCUCCUUACC
This 179-nucleotide ribosomal RNA is filed under the name Arsenophonus endosymbiont of Bemisia tabaci Asia II 3. RNAcentral's name for it is "partial 16S ribosomal RNA". It matches the Rfam family "Bacterial small subunit ribosomal RNA", at positions 1358 to 1533 of the family's 1533-position model. Lineage: Bacteria; Pseudomonadati; Pseudomonadota; Gammaproteobacteria; Enterobacterales; Morganellaceae. The record is from RNAcentral.